UUCACCUACGGGGCGCAGCAGUGGGGAAUAUUGCACAAUGGGGGAAACCCUGAUGCAGCAACGCCGCGUGAAGGAAGACGGUUUUCGGAUUGUAAACUUCUGUUCUUAGUGAAGAAUAAUGACGGUAGCUAAGGAGCAAGCCACGGCUAACUACGUGCCAGCAGCCGCGGUAAUACGUAGGUGGCAAGCGUUGUCCGGAUUUAUUGGGUUUAAAGGGUGCGUAGGCGGAAUGCCAAGUCAGCGGUAAAAUCGCGGGGCUCAACCUCGCUCCGCCGUUGAAACUGGCGUUCUUGAGU
RNAcentral lists this ribosomal RNA (296 nucleotides) under uncultured bacterium. RNAcentral's name for it is "partial 16S ribosomal RNA". It matches the Rfam family "Bacterial small subunit ribosomal RNA", at positions 334 to 647 of the family's 1533-position model. The record is from RNAcentral.